Molecule: long non-coding RNA, 776 nt
Filed under: Amborella trichopoda
Lineage: Eukaryota; Viridiplantae; Streptophyta; Magnoliopsida; Amborellales; Amborellaceae
Description: long non-coding RNA (ATRI_LNC002053)
Source: RNAcentral
AGGUAAUUCUCUCCCUUUGAUCAAUUAAUUAUACAAAAAAAUCCAUUAAAAAAACCCAAAAAUAGGGAGGACACCAAAAAAAAUAGAAGAAAAUUGUAAUAAAACAUUUAUUCUUCGAGGUGGAAGAACCAUGUUUCCCACAAAUGAACUCGCAAUGGCGAACAUGAAUAGGCUCUGAAAGCCCGUUAAAGAGCUCAAUCGAACAAGAAGACCCAAUUGUUGAGGAAUCAAAACAGAGCUGGUUUCUAGGGAGGGAAUGACAUUAAGGUAACCACAAAGAGGAAACAGUUGGUAGGUCGUAGUCUCGCAAAGCAAUGGCACACAAAGAUCAAAGAGAAACCCCUCUUCGUAAGAUUGAAUAGAGAGAGAUGAUAGAGAGAUGGGUUCACAGAUAAGAGAGAACUAGAAACCCUAAUUCUUCGUUGCAAUACAGAGAGGGAGAUAAACGAGGAUCCAAUCCCCACCAUUCAUCUUCCAUAAACGUACAGUGGGGAUUAGGUCUUUUGAAAGUUUAAAAUAAUAUAUAUAUAUAUAUGGAAAAAGUUUAUAUAAGGUUUCAACUUUAUAAUGUAGAUCUAUGGAUGCACUUCAAAAAUCCAUCGGAAAGGGUAGUUUUAAUGUUGAAAAACCCUUUCAUUGAUCAUCUUGACAUCGAGAUGUAUGACCAUGAAAAAUAAAAAGAUUUUAAGUCUCAGAAAUAGUGCAUUUUACAAUAUAUUAUCAACACCAUCCAUUUUCAAGAUUUUCAUAUCUUUAUAAAUCUACUUGAUUUUAAC